RNAcentral lists this ribosomal RNA (1318 nucleotides) under uncultured Alphaproteobacteria bacterium. Its description in RNAcentral is "bacterial SSU rRNA". It matches the Rfam family "Bacterial small subunit ribosomal RNA", at positions 29 to 1394 of the family's 1533-position model. The record is from RNAcentral. Lineage: Bacteria; Pseudomonadati; Pseudomonadota; Alphaproteobacteria.
ACGUACGCUGGCGGCACGCCUAACACAUGCAAGUCGAACGAAGUAGUAAUACUUAGUGGCAGACGGGUGAGUAACAUGUAGGUAUCUGCCCUUUGGCCUGGAAUAACACGAGGAAACUUGUGCUAAUACCGGAUAAGUCUUUACGGAGAAAGCUUUAUGCACCAUUGGAUGAGCCUGCACUUGAUUAGUUUGUUGGUGGGGUAAUGGCCUACCAAGACUGUGAUCAAUAGCUGAUUUGAGAGGAUGAUCAGCCACAUUGGGACUGAGACACGGCCCAAACUCCUACGGGAGGCAGCAGUGGGGAAUCUUGCACAAUGGAGGAAACUCUGAUGCAGCGAUGCCGCGUGAGUGAAGAAGGCCUUUGGGUUGUAAAGCUCUUUCGUCGGGGAAGAAAAUGACUGUACCCGAAUAAGAAGGUCCGGCUAACUUCGUGCCAGCAGCCGCGGUAAUACGAAGGGACCUAGCGUAGUUCGGAAUUACUGGGCUUAAAGAGUUCGUAGGUGGUUGAAAAAGUUGGUGGUGAAAUCCCAGAGCUUAACUCUGGAACUGCCAUCAAAACUUUUCAGCUAGAGUAUGAUAGAGGAAAGCAGAAUUUCUAGUGUAGAGGUGAAAUUCGUAGAUAUUAGAAAGAAUACCAAUUGCGAAGGCAGCUUUCUGGAUCAUUACUGACACUGAGGAACGAAAGCAUGGGUAGCGAAGAGGAUUAGAUACCCUCGUAGUCCAUGCCGUAAACGAUGUGUGUUAGACGUUGGAAAUUUAUUUUCAGUGUCGCAGGGAAACCGAUAAACACACCGCCUGGGGAGUACGACCGCAAGGUUAAAACUCAAAUGAAUUGACGGGGACCCGCACAAGUAGUGGAGCAUGUGGUUUAAUUCGAAGAUACGCGCAGAACCUUACCAACACUUGACAUGUUCGUCGCGACUCUAAGAGAUUAGAGUUUUCGGUUCGGCCGGACGAAACACAGGUGCUGCAUGGCUGUCGUCAGCUCGUGUCGUGAGAUGUUGGGUUAAGUCCCGCAACGAGCGCAACCCUCACUUUUAGUUGCCAUCAUUAAGUUGGGCACUCUAAAAGAACUGCCAGUGAUAAGCUGGAGGAAGGUGGGGAUGACGUCAAGUCCUCAUGGCCCUUACGUGUUGGGCUACACACGUGCUACAAUGGCAUCUACAACAGGAAGCAAAACGGCAACGUUAAGCAAAUCCCGAAAAGAUGCCUCAGUUCGGAUUGCACUCUGCAACUCGAGUGCAUGAAGCUGGAAUUACUAGUAAUCGUGGAUCAGCGUGCCACGGUGAAUGCGUUCCCGGGUCUUGUACUCACCGCC